GCGAGUGAUGUCAUAUAACGAGGGUAUUAGCCCCGCUUUUUCUUCCUCGCUGAAAGUGCUUUACAACCCUAAGGCCUUCUUCACACACGCGGCAUGGCUGCGUCAGGCUUUCGCCCAUUGCGCAAGAUUCCCU
RNAcentral lists this ribosomal RNA (133 nucleotides) under uncultured bacterium. RNAcentral's name for it is "partial 16S ribosomal RNA". The record is from RNAcentral.